AGAGUUUGAUUCUGGCUCAGGACGAACGCUGGCGGCGCGCCUAACACAUGCAAGUCGAACGGAGACAAUUAGGAGCUUGCUUUUGAUUGUCUUAGUGGCGGACGGGUGAGUAACACGUGAGCAACCUGCCUUUCAGAGGGGGAUAACGUUUGGAAACGAACGCUAAUACCGCAUGACAUAUCGGUACCGCAUGGCACUGAUAUCAAAGGAGCAAUCCGCUGAAAGAUGGGCUCGCGUCCGAUUAGCUAGAUGGCGGGGUAACGGCCCACCAUGGCGACGAUCGGUAGCCGGACUGAGAGGUUGAUCGGCCACAUUGGGACUGAGACACGGCCCAG
This 335-nucleotide ribosomal RNA is filed under the name uncultured bacterium. RNAcentral's name for it is "bacterial SSU rRNA". It matches the Rfam family "Bacterial small subunit ribosomal RNA", at positions 8 to 334 of the family's 1533-position model. The record is from RNAcentral.